Long non-coding RNA from Passer domesticus (house sparrow), 2315 nucleotides. RefSeq lists it as uncharacterized. The transcript is spliced from 2 exons. Lineage: Eukaryota; Metazoa; Chordata; Aves; Passeriformes; Passeridae. The record is from RefSeq and is a predicted model, not a curated record.
AUAGAAAAGGGGCUUCCUUUACAAACCCCCAGGGGCAGUCUCAAUGCCCCUCCAGAUGGUGAAAUGAGCUGUAGCAGAAACCUCGGAAACAGCAAGAUGGAAUGGCAGAGUCAAGCAGACCCGGGGUGACAAAGUGUAGCAGAGACUCCAGGGCCAUGCCAGAAGCUGCAGGGUGUUUACAUGUCAGGUUAAAAUGUGGCAAGAAGCCCUGAAACAGUGGCAGAGAACAGCAGGGCUGGGCAGAGAAUCACUCCCCUGGGUAGCUCACUGGCAAUGGCUGGUCCUGGGGUCAGGCUGUGCAGAGGGGGCAGCCCUGUUAGGGGAUGGGGUGCUCCUGGGUCCCAGCAUGGCACGCACUGGCUCUGGGCUCCCAAGCAGCAGAGAAGCAGGCCAGUAACAUCCAGUUACAGUGCCAAAGGAAAUGAAAAAAACCUGGGCAAAAACCACAUGGCAACAGUAUCUCAUCAGAGGGAUUGUACCGUGUGGCCACUGGGACAAAUUGCCCCACUUGAAGGAAACAACCCCCUUCACCCCCAACUCUGGCAGGAAUCCCAGACUCUCAUGCAUCACAAUACUCAGGGAGCUGGGGGGGGGGGGAGCAGCAACCACCCUGGACACAAAACAAAAAACAAAAACAAACCCCAAAAUGGCUAUGUGUGGAUGUGACAGCCUGGUCAGAGUGAGAAAACUAGGUAAGUUUUCCCAGAAUCGGCCUGAGAGACUUUAGGGAAUUGAAGAUAAACAACGAUAGCUUAUUAUUAUAAACAACCUGCAGGUGUUUUCCUACUCUCAGUUUUCCUGUUUUUCUCAAAGAUUGUUUAUAAGAAGGGCAUCUUGUUAAUUAGCCAAUCAGGUGAAAUGUAUUAACUGAAUGACCAAUCAAAUCUACCUAGAUCGGAACAGCUUAUAAAAGGAGCAGUUCUAAAUAUAUGGUGCGCACAUUAUGCCAAUCAGCCUUCUGAUGAGUCUGUGUCAUUUCUUAACUCAAUAGCGACAUCUGGUGACCCCAACAUGAUUUGCAUCAGUCAGCCCUUUGUGGAUCUCAGGACGGAUGAAGGGACACCUCGAACCCCCACCAGAACUCCACUGGGACCCUGUGGUGCCUGUGCAGCCUGUUCGCGUCUGGACACCCUCUGCUCCCCCGGAGAGGAGUGGAGCCCUGCAGCACUGGAAUGGAAUCCCACCAGCCUGAGCCCUGCACAUGAAAUACUAAGCACCAGGAAUGCCCCUGGUUGGGUGGGGGACAUCAGCCAGCCCCAGCCUGCCUAAGCUGCUCCAAGUAACAACCAUGAAGAGAGCAAAACAUUCAAUUUAAUGGAAACAAGUCUUUAUUAAGUAACUUUUAAUAUCAUAAAAAUAAAACUCUUAUAAUUCUCUUUACAACAAAUAUAUAAUAUCAGUGCUUUGGCCAUCAUAAUUUAAAGGCCCUUUAUCAUAAAAUAUAUAGUUUUUAAACUUGACCAAAAUUGAAUUUAUAAUCCCUAUGACCUCCCUACAUAUACAUAACAAAGAGUGUAGUAAAAUCAGCAGCAAAUACUAAGCUAGAUCAAUAGUUUAUCAGUUUAUUCUUAGUUUGUGGUUUAUAGAAGUGGUACACGCACCUUAUGUCUAUUGAUUCCUUGGCUUAUUAGUUGCAGUGUACAAUGCAAUAAAACAAAAUACACGCUCAGUGAACAUUUUUUUGCAUCUACAAGACUGUAGUUAGAGAUCAGAUUUUAAUACUGACAUGUAACUAUCCUACAAGCAAUUAUAGUAAAAGUUAUGCAGUACAUAAUAUGCCUUCAAGGCAACUCCUAGUUGUAAACUUUUAUACCAAAUGUAACUCUUCAAGUGGAAAUAAAAAUAAAAUUUUCUGCAUAUUUACUAGUUUAAUACACAAUUUCUUUUUUUUUUUUUGUUACACUGAGAAAAAGAUUAUCUUGGGAAAAUAAUGCUUUAAAAAAGAGGAAAAAAUACAUCAUAACUCUACUUUUGUGUCUUUUUUUUGUUUGUUUUUGCUGUUUUAAUAUAUGUCAGCACAGAUUUGGGAAUGUACUGAGGAUGAAAAAGCUAGAAACAUCCACAGGUUGAAAUGUAAGAAGCUCAAGAAGCUCAUUCAAGAGAGACUUUUUUUUUGGAAAGACAGUUUUGAAAUGAAGUAAACUGAUUACAAGGCCACUGUCACAGCUGCUGUCAUGAAUAAUACAAGGGCAUUUACACAACUCCCCCUUUUUCCUUUUUCUUACUAAAAAUAUAUAUUUAUGUGUAAGACAUGAAUUUAACAUAAAAAUGCUUCACAUUUUGAACUAUAUAUUCUCUAAAAAAGGUCAAGAACA